RNAcentral lists this ribosomal RNA (1226 nucleotides) under Asiopsocus sonorensis. Its description in RNAcentral is "16S ribosomal RNA". The stretch from base 828 to 1168 matches the Rfam family "Archaeal large subunit ribosomal RNA", at positions 2153 to 2718 of the family's 2987-position model. The record is from RNAcentral. Lineage: Eukaryota; Metazoa; Arthropoda; Insecta; Psocodea; Asiopsocidae.
UUAGAUUAUCUUCUUGAAGAUUAUUUUUUGUUUGUUUAUAUAUUUAUAUAGAAAUUAUUAAUUGUCGAUAGUUUAAAAGGUUUUGGUUUAUUAUACAUAAUAGUAUAUGAUUAGGAUUCUAAUAUAAGAAGUGGAGUUAAUUUUUUUUACCUUUUGUAUCAGGGUUUAAAUAAAAUGUCAAAUAAAUUUUAUAUCUCGAAAGUUUUUGGUUUAAACUUUUGUGGAUGGUUAUGUAUAAUAAUAUAUUAAACAUAAGUUUAGGAAUUAAAGGUUAAACAUAAAAAUUUUUUUCUAGUUUAUAUGAAAAUUAAUUGAAUUAACUAAGUUAGGGGGAUUUAGUAUCAAUUUAAUUUUAAAAUAAUUAAUAGAUAAAUUUAUUUAGAAAUAUAUAAAGAGUUUAGUUUUUAUAAUAUUUAAAUUAUUUAAGAUUGAAAUUUUAUUUAUUAUUAAAAUUGUUUAUAUGUUUUAUUUUUUAUAAAUAUGAAUUUAAUUUUAAUAUUUAAUUUUAUAAUUAAAUAAAUUACAUAUAUAAUUAAUAUAAUUUAUUAUUUUGAGAGUUUAUUUUAGAAUAAGUAAAGAUUAAUAUAGUAUUAGUUUACGAAUUCGGCAAAAUAAGACUACGCCUGUUUAACAAAAACAUGUCUAUGAGGUUUAUUUUUUAGUCUGUUCUGCUCACUGUUUAUAUAAAGAGCCGCAGUAUAUUGACUGUGUGAAGGUAGCAUAAUCAUUAGCUUUUUAAAUGGAAGCUUGUAUGAAAGAGUGGAUGAUAGUUUUUCUUUUUUAUUAUUUGAUUUAAUUUAAAUUUAAGUAAUAAUUCUUAAAUGAAUUUAAGGGACGAGAAGACCCUUUAGAUUUUUACUUCUUAUUGUUUGUCUUUAAAUAAGAUGUUUAAUUGGGGUGAUUUUUUGAAAUUAACAACUUAAUUCUUGUUAACCAGCAAUAAAUGAAUAUAUUUGAUGAAGAAUUUGUUAUAUAAGAUUAAAAUACCUAAGGGAUAACAGCGUUAUUUUAUUUAAGAGUUCAUAUUUAUAGUAAAGAUUGCGACCUCGAUGUUGAAUUAAGAAGUUUAUUGGUGCAGGAGUUGAUGAUUAAUUAGUCUGUUCGACUAUUAAAUUCUUACAUGAUUUGAGUUCAGACCGGCGUAAGCCAGGUCAGAUUUUAUCUUUAAAAUAUUUGGUUAGAUAAGUACGAAAGGAUAGUUUAUACAUAAAUCUUAUACUGCUAGU